Molecule: ribosomal RNA, 254 nt
Filed under: uncultured prokaryote
Description: partial 16S ribosomal RNA
Rfam family: Bacterial small subunit ribosomal RNA
Source: RNAcentral
UAAUACGUAGGGUGCGAGCGUUAAUCGGAAUUACUGGGCGUAAAGCGUGCGUAGGCGGUUCGCUGUGUCUGUCGUGAAAGCCCCGGGCUUAACCUGGGAAUGGCGAUGGAAACUGGCGAGCUUGAGUGUGGCAGAGGGGGGUGGAAUUCCGCGUGUAGCAGUGAAAUGCGUAGAGAUGCGGAGGAACACCGAUGGCGAAGGCAGCCCCCUGGGCUAACACUGACGCUCAGGCACGAAAGCGUGGGGGGCAAACA